CGGCGCUUUCCAGCUGCAGAUCCAGGCGGCAGCCCAAGUUGGCGGAUAAUUGCAGCUUUCUUUCAUUCCCCACAUGAGUUCAAAUGGCAGCAAACAAACUAGGAGAACGCAGACCUUCUGACUUGUGGGUACCCCUACUCAUCACCUGAAGACCCUUGGAAAUCAAAGCCCUGACCCAUUAAAGACGGAUGGAGACAGCAACGUACGAUCAUCACUAUUAUCUUGCUUUGCCCCAGUCCAGGUUAACCAUCUGUGGUAUUUUUAGUUGCUAAGUCCAUAUAUUCAACAUAAAUCAAUUAUAUAUCCAAUAAAAUCCCAGCACUAGUCUAAGUACUAAGGAAAUGACAGCGAAGAAAACAGACCAUACGUCUGCCCUUAUGGGAUUUAUAUUAUUUUCUCUGUACUGGUUAAACCAAGGAGCUUCUGCUCUUUUCCUUAGUCACCUGGGGGAGGCAGAAACAAAGGAGAAUAUUGAUAAACCUGGAAAUAGGGCCGGAGAGUAUCAGAGAAGGAAGCCUUCGGGAAAGUAAAGAUGUGGCAGCCAGUAUUCCCGUUAUAAAAGGAUACAACUCCGGCCUCAUAGUCCAGAAAAAUUCCCACAAGCAGGGGCUGCUCAUGCAGAUGAAGGGAAGCUGGGGGAGAAGUAAGUGCUACAUAGCCUUUCUUUUUGCACAGCCUGAGGGUCCAGAAUCCAGACUGAGGCUCUUGCUUCAUGCCAGUGCCCCUCUGCACAUUUUCCAUACAAACUCCUAAAUCCCACCCGGUUCCUUCGCCAACAUCCACUUCAAAGUAACAUCUUCCUGAGGUGAAGCCUUCACAACCCAAGACACAGGGGAAGGCAGUAAAUCUCCUGGAAGAUGUGUCCUGAUUCUCCUGGGUGUAUCCACGAGUCACUUGUCUCCGAUCCUCAGAGAGAAUUAGUUCGUGAUGAGCUGUAUCUGGAUCCAGAGUCAC
RNAcentral lists this long non-coding RNA (954 nucleotides) under Pan troglodytes (chimpanzee). Its description in RNAcentral is "long non-coding RNA NONPTRT015039". Lineage: Eukaryota; Metazoa; Chordata; Mammalia; Primates; Hominidae. The record is from RNAcentral.